UGGUACGAUUGUUGUUGAGGUUCAGCAGCCUUCUAGUGCUCAAACUAACAAGAAAGAAGCCAUGUAGGGAAGGAAUGGUAUAGUUUAGGGAUUGGGUGAGGCAUUGGUGAAUAGAGAAAAAGAAGAAGCUAGGGUGUUGGAUUCAUGAAUUGGGUGAAUAGGUUAUAUAUGGGCUAAAUGGGUGGAUAAAUUGGAUUAUUGGGUUCUGGCUUAAUGGGCCUGUGGAUUUUGGGUUGAUGGGUAUUGGGUUAAUAGGUUAGCAGA
RNAcentral lists this long non-coding RNA (264 nucleotides) under Elaeis guineensis (African oil palm). RNAcentral's name for it is "long non-coding RNA (EGUI_LNC041708)". The record is from RNAcentral. Lineage: Eukaryota; Viridiplantae; Streptophyta; Magnoliopsida; Arecales; Arecaceae.